CUAUGAAAAGCGUGAUGUAUAGAAACCCCGAUGUUGACCGAACAGUAUCAUUUUAUGAUUUUGUUGGGUGUUUUUUUUUGCGUCUAGGUGGAGUGUAAAUUUGAGAGAGAUUUCGUUGGUGUUUUCUAGCAGACUGAACGACCACGUAGAGGUUCCUCGUUGACAUGUGACGUGUCAGAUUAGAUUUUUUUUUUUUUGUGAACGUUGCAUAACUCGAUUUACAAUGUCGACACUGUCAAACCGUUAUCGUUUCGUACACAAAUUUUUAAGAGUAAACAUUAACAAGACAACCCUAAAUUUCUCAACGAUACUUCUAAAUGGAAUUGUCAUAUUUUAUAGAACAUUACUAAGCAAAAUAAAGAUUGAUAUAUGCAAGAUUCUAAAGUGUUUUGCUCUUUGCUUUUGCAUGAUUCUAUUCAAAAUAUAUUACUCAGUAAACACUGUCUGUGAAUGUUAGUGGUAUAUCUCGGUUAUAAUGUAGAGUAUUUUGUGACCUUAUUCAAUAUUCAAUAUUGCCCAUGUAUUAACAUUCUUUGCAUUUAUUAUUUAUUACAUUUAUCUUCUUAUAUAAAACAGCUCAACUGAAGAAUAUCUGUAUCAUCUUCGCAAAGAUUUCUAGUUCUUUAGAAGGUUAUUAUUCUGACCAUACUACUGAAUAUUUCAAAGUCUUAGCUAUAAAGCUGUGUAUUGCUGGCUUUACGGUGUGGUUCAUAAAAAUACCGAACUGUCUUCAGUUGUAUUGUGUAAGAAGAAGAAAAAAAAA
Molecule: long non-coding RNA, 763 nt
Filed under: Octopus vulgaris (common octopus)
Lineage: Eukaryota; Metazoa; Mollusca; Cephalopoda; Octopoda; Octopodidae
Source: RNAcentral